GGGGCUGUGGUGUAGCCUGGUUAGCAUUUAAGCUUUGGGAGCUUACGACCCCCGUUCAAAUCGGGGCAGUCCCA
This 74-nucleotide transfer RNA is filed under the name archaeon. RNAcentral describes it as "tRNA-Pro". It matches the Rfam family "tRNA". From Rfam's summary of the family: Transfer RNA (tRNA) molecules are approximately 80 nucleotides in length. Their secondary structure includes four short double-helical elements and three loops (D, anti-codon, and T loops). RNAcentral also lists the same sequence under 1 other name. The record is from RNAcentral.